UAUGGAAGAUUUUCUGGAUCUACACUGUAUUUGUGUUUUCAAAACUAAAACACAUUUACAUUUUAGAUCCUGAGAAUCUUCCGUA
This 85-nucleotide microRNA precursor is filed under the name Picea abies (Norway spruce). RNAcentral describes it as "miR11488 stem-loop (pab-MIR11488)". Lineage: Eukaryota; Viridiplantae; Streptophyta; Pinopsida; Pinales; Pinaceae. The record is from miRBase by way of RNAcentral.